This 407-nucleotide ribosomal RNA is filed under the name uncultured Cetobacterium sp. RNAcentral's name for it is "bacterial SSU rRNA". It matches the Rfam family "Bacterial small subunit ribosomal RNA", at positions 355 to 776 of the family's 1533-position model. The record is from RNAcentral. Lineage: Bacteria; Fusobacteriati; Fusobacteriota; Fusobacteriia; Fusobacteriales; Fusobacteriaceae.
UGGGGAAUAUUGGACAAUGGGCCACAAGCCUGAUCCAGCAAUUCUGUGUGCACGAUGAAGGUCUUCGGAUUGUAAAGUGCUUUCAGUUGGGAAGAAGAAAGUGACGGUACCAACAGAAGAAGCGACGGCUAAAUACGUGCCAGCAGCCGCGGUAAUACGUAUGUCGCAAGCGUUAUCCGGAUUUAUUGGGCGUAAAGCGCGUCUAGGCGGAAAGAUAAGUCUGAUGUGAAAAUGCGGGGCUCAACUCCGUAUUGCGUUGGAAACUGUCUUUCUAGAGUACUGGAGAGGUGGGCGGAACUACAAGUGUAGAGGUGAAAUUCGUAGAUAUUUGUAGGAAUGCCGAUGGAGAAGUCAGCUCACUGGACAGAUACUGACGCUGAAGCGCGAAAGCGUGGGGAGCAAACAGG